AAGACACUAGUAAAAUUAUUACCUCUCCUUGUCGAGGGGAUAUUGUAGGUUAAAACCCUUCGUGCCUUA
RNAcentral lists this transfer RNA (69 nucleotides) under Trichiurus brevis (Chinese short-tailed hairtail). RNAcentral describes it as "tRNA-Asp". It matches the Rfam family "tRNA". From Rfam's summary of the family: Transfer RNA (tRNA) molecules are approximately 80 nucleotides in length. Their secondary structure includes four short double-helical elements and three loops (D, anti-codon, and T loops). The record is from RNAcentral. Lineage: Eukaryota; Metazoa; Chordata; Actinopteri; Scombriformes; Trichiuridae.